This 403-nucleotide ribosomal RNA is filed under the name uncultured bacterium. RNAcentral describes it as "bacterial SSU rRNA". It matches the Rfam family "Bacterial small subunit ribosomal RNA", at positions 28 to 420 of the family's 1533-position model. The record is from RNAcentral.
GACGAACGCUGGCGGCAUGCCUAAUACAUGCAAGUCGAGCGAAUGACGAAGAAGCUUGCUUCUUCUGAUUUAGCGGCGGACGGGUGAGUAACACGUGGGCAACCUGCCCUGUAGAUUGGGAUAACUCCGGGAAACCGGGGCUAAUACCGAAUAAUCCAUUUCCUCUCAUGGGGAAAUGUUAAAAGACGGUCUCGGCUGUCACUACAGGAUGGGCCCGCGGCGCAUUAGCUAGUUGGUGAGGUAACGGCUCACCAAGGCGACGAUGCGUAGCGACCUGAGAGGGUGAUCGGCCACACUGGGACUGAGACACGGCCCAGACUCCUACGGAGGCAGCAGUAGGGAAUCUUCCACAAUGGACGAAAGUACUGAUGGAGCAAUGCCGCGUGAGUGAAGAAGGUUUCGG